GCCGACAUAGCUCAGCUGGUAGAGCAACGGUUUUGUAAACCGUGGGUCAUGGGUUCGAGUCCCUUUGUCGGCU
This is a transfer RNA of 73 nucleotides. It matches the Rfam family "tRNA". From Rfam's summary of the family: Transfer RNA (tRNA) molecules are approximately 80 nucleotides in length. Their secondary structure includes four short double-helical elements and three loops (D, anti-codon, and T loops).